GCGUCGCAGUUGGUUCAAACGAGCAGUAGUCUCUGCCGACGCUGUUGCUGCGACCUGACGAGAGGCUGCCCAGGCCUGAAAGGUCGAACUCUUGGAUGCCCUGCCUCUGGGGCGUCUACCUUGCCGAGUAGGGGCCGAAGCCGGAGUUAAGAGGAGGGUUUGAUAUUGCUGUGUUUUUAAACAGCCUAAUGAGGUGUUACCCUGACUCUGGGUACGGGGUGACCACUGGUGAUCCUGCGUCGGCAUAAGGAGAAGGCUUUGAAGGGUCCUUGUGGAUAAGAGGUUGCGAGGAGAGGAGUCCAUGACUGUAUCCCUGCUUUUUAAGCUGAGCAUGCAGGACGCAGAGCUGCCCGACACUGUUGAUCUCACCAGCCUUCAGCACUAGCUCAGCAAUCUGAUGUGACUCCUGCUUAGCUGCCGGAGGGAAGGCAGCCCCAGAUUGGCUCAGUAAUGGAACUAGCUUCCCUGUAUUCCUCCUUCUGACCUCACGGAAACCACGCAGACUGAUUUAAAUGACUCUUAUUCCAGAGAGACUCAGAAGCUGGCCCUAGCUGUGUGUAAAUGAACUGCGUGGCUUUAAAACAAAAGCCAAAGAGA
This is a long non-coding RNA of Rattus rattus (black rat), 597 nucleotides long. RefSeq lists it as uncharacterized. Lineage: Eukaryota; Metazoa; Chordata; Mammalia; Rodentia; Muridae. The transcript is spliced from 2 exons. The record is from RefSeq and is a predicted model, not a curated record.